Molecule: ribosomal RNA, 510 nt
Filed under: uncultured bacterium
Lineage: Bacteria
Description: partial 16S ribosomal RNA
Rfam family: Bacterial small subunit ribosomal RNA
Source: RNAcentral
GACGAACGCUGGCGGCGUGCUUAACACAUGCAAGUCGAACGAAGAGCGAUGGAAGCUUGCUUCUAUCAAUCUUAGUGGCGAACGGGUGAGUAACGCGUAAUCAACCUGCCCUUCAGAGGGGGACAACAGUUGGAAACGACUGCUAAUACCGCAUACGAUCUAAUCUCGGCAUCGAGGAUAGAUGAAAGGUGGCCUCUACAUGUAAGCUAUCACUGAAGGAGGGGAUUGCGUCUGAUUAGCUAGUUGGAGGGGUAACGGCCCACCAAGGCGAUGAUCAGUAGCCGGUCUGAGAGGAUGAACGGCCACAUUGGGACUGAGACACGGCCCAGACUCCUACGGGAGGCAGCAGUGGGGAAUCUUCCGCAAUGGACGAAAGUCUGACGGAGUAACGCCGCGUGGGCGAGGACGGCCUUCGGGUUGUAAAGCUCUGUUAAUCGGGACGAAAGGCCUUCUUGCGAAUAGUGAGAAGGAUUGACGGUACCGGAAUAGAAAGCCACGGCUAACUACGUG